AGAGUUUGAUCCUGGCUCAGGAUGAACGCUGGCGGUCUGCUUAACACAUGCAAGUCGAACGGAGUACUUCGGUACUUAGUGGCGGACGGGUGAGUAACGCGUGAGGAUCUGCCCUCAGGAGGGGGACAACGACUGGAAACGGUCGCUAAUACCCCAUAUGCCGAGAGGUGAAAUGUUUUUUCGCCUGAGGAUGAGCUCGCGUCAGAUUAGCUAGUUGGUGGGGUAACGGCCUACCAAGGCGACGAUCUGUAGCUGGUCUGAGAGGAUGAUCAGCCACACUGGGACUGAGACACGGCCCAGACUCCUACGGGAGGCAGCAGUGGGGAAUUUUCCGCAAUGGGCGAAAGCCUGACGGAGCAAGACCGCGUGAGGGAUGACGGCCUAAUGGUUGUAAACCUCUUUUCUCUGGGAAGAUAAUGACGGUACCAGAGGAAUAAGCCUCGGCUAACUCCGUGCCAGCAGCCGCGGUAAUACGGAGGAGGCAAGCGUUAUCCGGAAUUAUUGGGCGUAAAGCGUCCGUAGGUGGUUAAUCAAGUCAGCUGUUAAAGAGCGGAGCUCAACUCCGUUAGAGCGGUUGAAACUGAUUGACUAGAGUUUGGUAGGGGUCGAGGGAAUUCCCAGUGUAGCGGUGAAAUGCGUAGAUAUUGGGAAGAACACCGGUGGCGAAAGCGCUCGACUGGGCCUGAACUGACACUGAGGGACGAAAGCUAGGGGAGCGAAAGGGAUUAGAUACCCCUGUAGUCCUAGCCGUAAACGAUGGAUACUAGGUGUUGCUCGUUAUCGACCCGAGCCGUGCCGAAGC
This 802-nucleotide ribosomal RNA is filed under the name uncultured Antarctic cyanobacterium. RNAcentral describes it as "bacterial SSU rRNA". It matches the Rfam family "Bacterial small subunit ribosomal RNA", at positions 8 to 852 of the family's 1533-position model. Lineage: Bacteria; Bacillati; Cyanobacteriota. The record is from RNAcentral.